GAUGAACGCUGACAGAAUGCUUAACACAUGCAAGUCUACUUGAAUUUGGGUCUUUGACUUAGAUUUGGGUGGCGGACGGGUGAGUAACGCGUAAAGAACUUGCCUCACAGUUAGGGACAACAUUUGGAAACGAAUGCUAAUACCUGAUAUUAUGAUUAUACGGCAUCGUAUAAUUAUGAAAGCUAUAUGCGCUGUGAGAGAGCUUUGCGUCCCAUUAGCUAGUUGGAGAGGUAACGGCUCACCAAGGCGAUGAUGGGUAGCCGGCCUGAGAGGGUGAACGGCCACAAGGGGACUGAGACACGGCCCUUACUCCUACGGGAGGCAGCAGUGGGGAAUAUUGGACAAUGGACCAAGAGUCUGAUCCAGCAAUUCUGUGUGCACGAUGACGUUUUUCGGAAUGUAAAGUGCUUUCAGUUGGGAAGAAAAAAAUGACGGUACCAACAGAAGAA
RNAcentral lists this ribosomal RNA (449 nucleotides) under Fusobacterium sp. oral taxon 370. RNAcentral's name for it is "bacterial SSU rRNA". It matches the Rfam family "Bacterial small subunit ribosomal RNA", at positions 28 to 489 of the family's 1533-position model. The record is from RNAcentral. Lineage: Bacteria; Fusobacteriati; Fusobacteriota; Fusobacteriia; Fusobacteriales; Fusobacteriaceae.